Molecule: ribosomal RNA, 99 nt
Filed under: uncultured bacterium
Lineage: Bacteria
Description: partial 16S ribosomal RNA
Rfam family: Bacterial small subunit ribosomal RNA
Source: RNAcentral
UACACACCGCCCGUCACACCAUGGGAGUGGGUUGCUCCAGAAGUCGCUAGUCUAACCUUCGGGAGGACGGUGACCACGGAGUGAUUCAUGACCGGGGUG